UACGUAGGUGGCAAGCGUUGUCCGGAUUUACUGGGCGUAAAGAGCGCGCAGGCGGUUGUUUAAGUCGAAUGUGAAAGCCCCCGGCUCAACUGGGGAGGGUCAUUCGAUACUGGAUGGCUUGAAUCCGGGAGAGGGAUGCAGAAUUCCAGGUGUAGCGGUGAAAUGCGUAGAUAUCUGGAGGAAUACCGGUGGCGAAGGCGGCAUCCUGGACCGGCAUUGACGCUGAUGAGCGAAAGCCAGGGGAGCAAACGGG
RNAcentral lists this ribosomal RNA (253 nucleotides) under uncultured bacterium. RNAcentral's name for it is "partial 16S ribosomal RNA". It matches the Rfam family "Bacterial small subunit ribosomal RNA", at positions 524 to 776 of the family's 1533-position model. The record is from RNAcentral.